UACGGAGGGUGCAAGCGUUGUCCGGAUUUAUUGGGUUUAAAGGGUGCGUAGGUGGCCCUGCAAGUCCGUGGUGAAAGCCUGCCGCUUAACGGCAGAACUGCCAUGGAUACUACAGGGCUUGAGUCCAGACGAGGUUGGCGGAAUGGAUGGUGUAGCGGUGAAAUGCAUAGAUAUCAACCAGAACGCCGAUAGCGAAGGCAGCUCGCUGAGGAUGUACCGACGCUGAGGCACGAUAGCGUGGGGAUCAAACAGG
Molecule: ribosomal RNA, 253 nt
Filed under: uncultured bacterium
Lineage: Bacteria
Description: partial 16S ribosomal RNA
Rfam family: Bacterial small subunit ribosomal RNA
Source: RNAcentral